This 400-nucleotide ribosomal RNA is filed under the name uncultured bacterium. RNAcentral describes it as "bacterial SSU rRNA". It matches the Rfam family "Bacterial small subunit ribosomal RNA", at positions 355 to 771 of the family's 1533-position model. The record is from RNAcentral.
UCGAGAAUAUUCGACAAUGGGCGAAAGCCUGAUCGAGCGACGCCGCGUGCAGGAUGAAGGCCUUCGGGUCGUAAACUGCGGUAGUAUGGUGACAAUGCAAAUGAGUGCCAUACGGAAAGAGGUUGGUAACUACGUGCCAGCACCCGCGGUAAAACGUAGACCUCAAGCGUUAUCCGGAUUUAUUGGGCGUAAAGCGCGUGUAGGAGGUUCGGCGCGUCUUCUCUUAAAGCCCACGGCCUAACCGUGGAAGUGGAGGAGAUACGGUCGGACUAGAGGGGGUUAGAGGUGCAUGGAACGCACGGUGUAGGGGUGAAAUCCGUUGAUAUCGUGCGGAACACCAAAGGCGAAGGCAGUGCACUGGGACCUUCCUGACUCUGAGACGCGAAAGCGUGGGGAGCAA